This 741-nucleotide unclassified non-coding RNA is filed under the name Hevea brasiliensis (rubber tree). The record is from RNAcentral. Lineage: Eukaryota; Viridiplantae; Streptophyta; Magnoliopsida; Malpighiales; Euphorbiaceae.
AGAUAGAGCAGGGACUUUCUUGGGCUCAAUAUGGGAGUCCAAGACCAAUGUUGCCAUCACUCUUCUUGAAGCCGGACUUGCUAAGCUCCAAACCUUUGGCUUAGACAGGAUCCCAGAUGCUCACUUACUCGCUCAAGCUGAGCAAUCUGCAAAAAAACAGAAACUGAAAAUAUGGGAGAACUAUGUUGAAGGACAAGAAGUUGCUGCUGGUCCUGCAGCAGACACAAAACAGAAGGAAGUUCUGAAGGUUGCGGUUACUGAAGUACUUGGCGGUGGGAAAUUCUAUGUCCAAACAACUGGUGACCAAAAGGUGUCUGCUAUUCAGCAGCAGCUUGCCUCGUUGAGUCUUCAAGAAGCUCCUGUUAUUGGUGCUUUUAAUCCCGCCAAGGGCGAAAUAGUCCUAGCACAGUUCAGUGUAGAUAAUUCCUGGAACAGAGCCAUGAUCGUUAAUGGCCCACGAGGAGCUGUGGAAUCACCAAAAGAUAAGUUUGAAGUCUUCUACAUUGACUAUGGAAACCAGGAAAUAGUCCCGUACAGUCGUUUACGGCCUCUGGAUCCUUCGGUCUCAUCAGCACCGGGAUUGGCUCAGCUGUGCAGCCUUGCAUACAUCAAAGUCCCGGAUUUGGAGGACGAUUUUGGUCAGGAAGCUGCGGAGUAUAUGAGUGAGUGCACUCUAAGCAGUUCUAAACAAUUCCGAGCAAUGAUUGAGGACAGAGAUGCCUCUGGAGGGAAGGUAAAGGG